RNAcentral lists this transfer RNA (74 nucleotides) under marine bacterium AO1-C. It matches the Rfam family "tRNA". Rfam says of the family: Transfer RNA (tRNA) molecules are approximately 80 nucleotides in length. Their secondary structure includes four short double-helical elements and three loops (D, anti-codon, and T loops). The record is from Rfam by way of RNAcentral. Lineage: Bacteria; Pseudomonadati; Bacteroidota; Cytophagia; Cytophagales; Cytophagaceae.
GACGAAGUGGCCAAGUGGUUUAAGGCAACUGGCUACUAUCCAGUAGAUCGCAGGUUCGAUUCCUGCCUUCGUCU